This 336-nucleotide ribosomal RNA is filed under the name Triticum aestivum (bread wheat). Its description in RNAcentral is "partial small subunit ribosomal RNA". The record is from RNAcentral. Lineage: Eukaryota; Viridiplantae; Streptophyta; Magnoliopsida; Poales; Poaceae.
AUGUCCGGAGCAGGAGGCAAGUGGGUGGCUUCCACCAUCAAGGAGAAGCACAUCACUAAUCUUCGGGCGGCCGGAUACUUGGCCGCGGACAUAGCGCACCGGCUACCGGACGCUGGGCAUGUCAUUCCGACCCCAGGACCCCACGAGAGGGUCGUAUUCGUCGCCCACUUCGUCCGUGGACUGGGAUUUCCAUUCCAUCCCUUCUUCCGCGGGCUCAUGUUUUACUACGGGCUAGAUUUCCAUGAUCUAGCCCCGAACUUCGUCCUUAACAUCUCGGCGUUCAUCGUCGUAUGCGAGGCCUUCCUCCGCAUCCGACCUCACUUCGGCCUAUGGUAA